UCAGCUGGUCAUUAUCCCCAAGUAGCAGAUAGCUAACAGAUUAUGAAAGUUCUUGCUCUUAAGUUGUAAUUGAACCAGGGAAUUACUUUGGUCUUGGAGCUGGGCGCUCAGCAUUAAAUUUAUAGAGUAAAGGAGGAUUCAAAGACAACAGGUUUUGGCUAGCGUAUGCCUGAAUAGGAAAUUUUAAUUAACUCAGUUUAUCAGAUUCAGCUACUGGCUAAUUCCCCCCCCCCAAAAAGAAUAUGUUAGCCAGUUGAAGCCUCUUAGUCAUAAAUUGUAUGCGACAUUCUUCUACCCCUAAGUAUUAUUUUAAACCAUAUUCCCACAUCUCGCCCUGGGUUGAUAAGUUCCAGGGACGGUGAUCCUGGAGGACAUAGCUGGUCUUGGUCACUGUGAUCUCGCUGGCAUCUGCAACGGUGCCUGGCACACUCUCGUGGAUUAUAAGCCCUACUCAAGUGUCGUCUAAACUGAACAGGCUCCUGCCUCUGUCCGUCCUCACCACACCCAAAGCUGGAGGGGAGAUCCUGCCUCAAUCCCCGCAACGUCUACUGCCUUACGGAAAACCACACCAGACCGCACACUCCUUUGAGUACGCAAAAUCAUGGGCUGAAACUUUCAGAGAAAUUUGCCACGACAUUUUCUGUGAAUGGAAACCAAAUUCUACUUAAAACAAGAGCACAAUCAAG
Molecule: long non-coding RNA, 686 nt
Organism: Panthera uncia (snow leopard)
Lineage: Eukaryota; Metazoa; Chordata; Mammalia; Carnivora; Felidae
Exons: 2
Source: RefSeq, a predicted model, not a curated record